Micropterus dolomieu (smallmouth bass) is the source of this 1247-nucleotide long non-coding RNA. RefSeq lists it as uncharacterized. The record is from RefSeq and is a predicted model, not a curated record. NCBI's taxonomy places the organism in Eukaryota, Metazoa, Chordata, Actinopteri, Centrarchiformes, Centrarchidae. The transcript is spliced from 2 exons.
CAAGCUCAGUCAGCUCUUGUGUUUAAUAAUAUGCUUGGGCCUAGGCCUUUUUUCAUUUCUCUUUUCUUACUUCUAAUAAACCUGACGACUACUACUUCUAACAUUACUUGUUCUUCUUUGUACAUAUUCAAAGUAGUGACAAAAUGCUCUCUGUAGCGCCGUUUGUCCAUUUGGACUACUGAGACAUAGCUGGCACAACAUGGCAACAUCCAUGUAAGAGGACCCGUGGUGUAUGUGGCUCAUUCUAAGAUGCUCCUGAGUCCUCGCAGAGUCUGAGAAACAUCAGUCUGCACCGUUUCCCGGCAGAAACCUUAUCUGUGAGAGGUGUUUGUGUAAUGGCGUUUUCCAGCCUGGUCCUGCAGGUCACACUGUCUGGAGCAAAAAGAGAAGCAACAACUGAGGAAGAGACAGAGAGAAAGGACAAGGGGAGAAAGGAAACAGAACUAUGUAUAGCAGGUUAUUGGCCUUAUCAUACUUACAUGCUGGCUUUUCUGUACAGUGCCUUUCAGCAGGGUUGUGUUACUGAAGCGUAGACUUAACUGAGGGCAGGAAUACACAAAAGACAUCAAGACAAUUGUUUGAUUUUUUGUUUUGUUGUUUUGGUAGAAACUGUGCAUCUAUUCAGAUCACAGCAGCUUCAAUUUUUCUUUUCUCUCCGACUGCGCUUCCCAUUCACAUACAUCCACACCUACACCCACACACACUCGCAAAAAUGUACAAUUUAUCCGAAUACUUCCCACAUCUCUCCACCCACAUUCCCUUCCACACAGAGAUAGCAGCACAUGUAUAAUUGCAGUGUGCAACAGUGCGCACCUUAGAGGAAAUAAUUACCACCAUAAAAAGAGCAAUUACUAACCUGGCAGAGAGUUGCAGUGGAUUUUAAUGCUUCUGCCAGUAACGUCUGCUCACAUACCGCUCUUUGUUUGUUUGACUAAUGGUUUCUUUUGAAGAAUAAACGAGCCAUAUUUACCAAUACUAAAAUGCUGUCUGUUUUGUACACACAUUUAGACGUACAACACAGCUUGCAGGUUCUGUGACAAUCAGAGUGAGCAGUGAAUGCUGGGAAAAGAAACAGGGCUGAAGGUUACUACGAGUUUGAUUCAUGUAACCAAAUAAUAAAAAGAUUUAUAAGAAUUGACUGUUGAGAGAGAGGCCUGCUUCAAUUCACUACUUAAUAUCCAGUUUUGAUUAGCUGGCAUAAUUUUGAUCCUGUUCAUCUGUUACGAAUAAAUGCUUUCCAAACUGGC